AGGCGCGAAAACUUCGCAAUGGGGGAAACCCCGACGAGGGAAUUCCAAGUGCUAGCACUUUGUGUUAGCUGUUCUUCUGUCUAAAAAACAGGAGAAGUAAGGGGCGGGUAAGACGGGUGCCAGCCGCCGCGGUAAUACCCGCGCCCCGAGUGGUGGUCGAUAUUAUUGAGCCUAAAACGUCCGUAGCCGGUCUUCUAAAUCCUUGGGUAAAUCGGGCAGCUUAACUGUCCGAAUUCCGGGGAGACUGGGAGACUUGGGACCGGGAGAGGUCAGAGGUACUUCUGGGGUAGGGGUAAAAUCCUGUAAUCCUGGAAGGACCACCGGUGGCGAAGGCGUCUGACUAGAACGGAUCCGACGGUGAGGGACGAAGCCCUGGGGCGCAAACGGGAUUAGAUACCCCGGUAGUCCAGGGUGUAAACGCUGCGGGCUUGGUGUUGGGGGUCCUUAGUGGGCGCCCAGUGCCGGAGAGAAGUUGUUAAGCCUGCUGCUUGGGGAGUAUGUCCGCAAGGAUGAAACUUAAAGGAAUUGGCGGGGGAGCAC
Molecule: ribosomal RNA, 540 nt
Filed under: uncultured archaeon
Lineage: Archaea
Description: bacterial SSU rRNA
Rfam family: Archaeal small subunit ribosomal RNA
Source: RNAcentral